GAGAAGAGCAGAGGAGACAAUCUAGCGUGU
Molecule: non-coding RNA, 30 nt
Filed under: Homo sapiens (human)
Lineage: Eukaryota; Metazoa; Chordata; Mammalia; Primates; Hominidae
Source: RNAcentral